Molecule: long non-coding RNA, 2992 nt
Organism: Homo sapiens (human)
Lineage: Eukaryota; Metazoa; Chordata; Mammalia; Primates; Hominidae
Product: long intergenic non-protein coding RNA 2073
Source: Ensembl
ACUGGAGGAAUAAACCUUUGUAGAGGAAGGUUUGAUGGGCUUUCCUGGAAGAAGUACUCAUAGGAAAACCCAAAAGCUCAACAGAUGCUGUCUCCUUGGUUAACAUUAGGAGCUAUGAUCUCCAUCUUCCCAUGGCAUUAGAGGUUUAGAUACUGAGGAUCAGAGAGGCAAGUUCAGCAUCAGAAGGCAGGAAGAGGCAGAAAUCUGGACACCGAUUCCUAACUCUAAAGCUGCGUCAUCUCUAGUGCAUCUCAUCAGCUCUUCCCAAUGGCACCAAUCAACUUUAGCAUACUGGCCAGCCGGAAUAGAUGUCCUUGGGCAUUCUUAAGAUCUGAGACUGUGAUGGUUAAUUUUAGGGUAUCAGCUUGACUGGGUUGAGGAAUGCCUCAGUGGCUGGUGGCGUCCAUCAUUCCUGGGUGUGUCUGUGAGAGUGUUUCCAGAGGAGACUCACAUGUGAGCCAGCGGGCUGAGAAGGAGACCCGUUCUCAGUGUGAGUGUGCACUGUCCAAUCAGCUCAAGGCCAGGCUGGGGACAAACAGGCAGAAGAAGGAGGAUUCUCUCUCCCACCUUUCUGGAGCAGGAUGCCUUUUCUCCUUGGACAUCAGACUACAGGGUCUUUGGCUUUUGGAUUCUAGGACUUGUACCAAUGGCCUCCCGGGGCCCUCAGGCCUUCAGCCUCCAACGAAGGUCUGUGCUGUUGGCCUCCCUGAUUCUGAGGCUUCUGGACUUGGACUGAGGCAUGCUACGGGCUUCUCUGAUUCUCCAGCUUGUGGAUGGCCUAUCAUGGGACUUCUCCACCUCUGUAAUCACAAGGGCCAAUGCCCCCUAAUACCUUUCUUUUCAUAUAUCCUACUGGUUCUGUCUGCCUGGGGAACCUUGACUAAUACAGAUAUGGAGCAUUUGAAAUGAGAGGAUUUCUGAUCCUGUUCUUCAAGAAGCAGUAGGUCAGAGCAUACCUCUUUAAAAUAACUUCUGGAUAGUUUCACAGUUAGAAAGAAUCAGCUUCAGGUGAUCUUGAAGAUCCCACUUGGAUUCCACUCUCCAGCUCUCAGGAAGCUCUGGCUUCCUUACUUCUUCUGGGAUUUUCCUUUCAUGCUGGGGAGAGAUGCUCCCUCACCACUACCCAGCCCAUGGGACACACCGAGUCUGGUGGAGGAUGCUGUGACCUGUGGUGCUUGUGAUUGCGUCUUACUGUGUCGCCCAGACUGAAGUGCAGUGGUACAGUCUCAGCUCACUGCAACCUCGGCUUCCCAGGCUCAAGCAAUCCUCCUGCCUCAGUAUCCCAAGUAGCUGGGAAAACAGGUAAAAGGGAAGCAAAGGAAGAAAGAAGAAAAGAAGACAACCCAUGUAGGAUGUUAACCAGGUCACUGGUUUUAUUGUCACAUGCUUUUAAAAGAACAUGCAUGAGUGAGCUGUCUCACUUUCCAAUCCAAGAAUGUUUGAUUCCACUGUGAUGAAAAAUUCUGUGACCUGGCAGGAAAACACUACAAGAAGGGCAGAAGCGGAAAAUUCUUUCUAUUUUCCAAUAUGGCUUUCUUUGAUUCAAGAAAGGCCUCCUCUCCUCCACAUCUCUGUCCUGCUCAUGACCCCAGAAGAUCUCAGGUUGACUGCAUUUGUUCUAUGCCUUCCUCAAGCUUCACCUCUUCUGUGAGCCUCCUGGGUGGGCUCCUUCUGGCUAAAUCUUCCUCCUCACUGUUGCCUUUUUAUCUUAUGCAAGCACCUGCCUUAUCUAAAGUUUCCAUGGGUCUGGAAUCCAGUAGAGCUGAGCUGAGUCAUUGCUUCAGUGUCUCUCAUGAGGCUUCAGUCAAGGUGCAGGCCAGGAUUGGGCUCUCAUCUGAAGUCUCUGCUGGGGAAGGAUCUGCUUCCAAACCCAUGGGACUGUUGGCAGGACUCAGUUCCCUAUGGGCUAUUGGCUGGAGAUGUGGGCCUUUCCAGCAUAACAUUCUGCUUCAUUAAAGCCAGUGAAGAAGAGAGUGUGCUAGCAAGAUGGAAGGCACAAUCUCCUGUAGUCUAAUCAUGGAAGUAACAGCCUGUCUCCUUUGCUAUAUUCUGUUGGUUAGAAGCAGUCACUAGGCCAGCCUACACUCAAGGAGAGAGACUAUGUGGUGGUGUGGAUACCCGAAGGUGGGGUCUUCAGAGACCAUCUGAGAGCCUGCCUGUCCCACUAGUUGUGUGACUUUGGGCAAUUACUGAAUUCUUCUCAUUUGUAACAUUGGUAUGAUAAUAAUAUCUUUAUAAAGUUGUUGUGAUUAAAUGAGCAUAUAUAAAACAGUGUUUGGCAAAUAAUAGGCCCUAUAUAAAUAUUUGCUUUUAUAGUUACCUAGACCGGUGUCUGGCACAUAGAGAAAGCACAGUAAACAUUGGUUGAAUCAAUGCAAUUGUAGUUCCAUUGCAGUUACAUGGAACAUGCUUUGGGAAGGCUGCCCUACUUAAGAAUGCUGCAAGGAUUAGAUGUGAUCAGCUAUGUGAAGCAUCUAGCACAGUCCCAGGCACAUGCUAGGUCCCCAGUCAAUGUUAGUUUCCCCUCCUACUUCCAGGUUUGGAUGUAGAGCUGAGAUUCAAAGCUUAAGAGAGGUCAGGUUCCAGCUUCUCCUUCUGUUCACCUCCUCCUUCUUUCCCUCCUUCUCUCUUUCCUUCUCUUCCUCCUUCCCUCCUACACCAAUAGUAAUUUUCUCGGUACAGUGCCUGGUUGGUGCCAUCAGCAGUUAAAUGCUUCAUAGUGGCUCUGGAUGAGGCUGGCAAUGACAAUUAAGUGUACUUCAGGGGCCUGGGUGGAGAUGGAAAUGAGGUGAAUGGGGGAAAAGAGAAUAAACGGCUAAGAAAGUGGAAAAAAAGACACAGAAAGGACCACUUUGAAGAGCAAUGUUAUUUUUUCUCUAUGUACCUAAGAGUUCUGAGAUGCUUUAAUAAUCACUGUUAGAAUCUUAAAAACACUUUUCCACGUUUUUCUUCCUUCUUAGCUUCCCUUAAUCACUAUAUUCAAAGCAGAUAU